Molecule: long non-coding RNA, 665 nt
Organism: Haliotis rufescens (red abalone)
Lineage: Eukaryota; Metazoa; Mollusca; Gastropoda; Lepetellida; Haliotidae
Exons: 3
Source: RefSeq, a predicted model, not a curated record
GUGUCGUAUAACGAAACGCUGCAGGCGUUGUCAACCGGCGAGACGAAUUGAUGAAACUGCUUUCCAAAGAACAAUCGCUCUCAGUUCUCACAACCCGAGCGUCGCUGACCACUGGCCAUUACUAAUUCCUCCCUACAACUGACCAGUCUUCCGACAUCUUUAACGUAAGCCAUCUAUAUGACGCAGGCCCCUGUGUUCUCCACACAGGCCUUGAGACAUCGGGUGAAAGCCGUCCUAAAGAUUCACGGGAGGGUAAUGGAAGGUCGACAGGUCAAGCAUGUCAUCACACCCCUAUAAACCAGUAGGACCGGUGUGUGCAUUCAUCAUUCCCCGACUGAAGUACGUACACAUCUACAGGUAUUGAACAGUUUCUGCUUUUCGACACCCAGGCAUCAUAUACAGACAACAUCAUGUCACGCGAGAUGGAGAAGGCGAAAGCCAUCUAUGUCAAAAGUUGUGAGGCAUGCCACGUGAGUUACGCCUCGGACACCACGGAGAAGACAAAAGUAGGACAGACAUGCCCCCAACAGAUUCCAGCCGUGUCCCCUCUUCUCUCCGAAACUUCCUUUCCCUCAAGGGAGAUAACCUUGACAAAAUUUAUUGAUAUUAUCAACUGAAACUGUAUUUGUAUUCGAUGAAGUAUGAAUAAACACAAUUCUUUUGUC